GCCCGGCUAGCUCAGUCGGUAGAGCACAGGAUACUUAAUCUCGGGGUCGUGGGUUUCCGAAGCCCACGUUGGGCG
Non-coding RNA from Trichonephila inaurata madagascariensis, 75 nucleotides. The record is from the annotation of a GenBank genome assembly. Lineage: Eukaryota; Metazoa; Arthropoda; Arachnida; Araneae; Nephilidae.